CUCAAUUUGAGCUUGUCAAGACUCAAGAGUUGCUGCGGAACACUAGGACUGGACAAGAUGAGCCGAAACUAUGGAUCAAAUAACAGUGCAAAACCCAAAUAUGCAGGCCUGCAAUUGAAGAACAGACUUGUGAAGGCACAAGAGAUCAAUACUUGCAGCUCUCCAGCCCAGCAUAAACAACUCUUUCCAGAAAAAAAAAAAAAAAAAGCAGUGCAUAUGUUCACCAGCAUGGCAGGGGAUCAGCUGGGAGAGUAAUUGAAGAAAUCCAUCAAAUGUCCAACCAAAAUUGUAUCAGCAGAAUAGGAGCAUCGAAACAGAGAUCUAUUACUCUAUAUACUAGUUUGCUCAGAUGCUUCUGUCUAAUUUAUGCUCA
Populus euphratica (Euphrates poplar) is the source of this 373-nucleotide long non-coding RNA. RefSeq lists it as uncharacterized. The transcript has 2 exons. The record is from RefSeq and is a predicted model, not a curated record. Lineage: Eukaryota; Viridiplantae; Streptophyta; Magnoliopsida; Malpighiales; Salicaceae.